RNAcentral lists this ribosomal RNA (253 nucleotides) under uncultured bacterium. Its description in RNAcentral is "partial 16S ribosomal RNA". It matches the Rfam family "Bacterial small subunit ribosomal RNA", at positions 524 to 776 of the family's 1533-position model. The record is from RNAcentral.
UACGAAGGGGGCUAGCGUUGUUCGGAAUUACUGGGCGUAAAGCGCGUGUAGGCGGGCCGUUAAGUCGGGGGUGAAAGCCCAGAGCUCAACUCUGGAAUUGCCUUCGAUACUGGCGGCCUGGAGCAUGAUAGAGGCGAGUGGAAAUGCGAGUGUAGAGGUGAAAUUCAUAGAUAUUCGCAGGAACACCAGUGGCGAAGGCGACUCGCUGGAUCAUUGCUAACGCUGAGACGCGAAAGCGUGGGGAGCAAACAGG